GAUUUGAAAUUUUUUCGAUUUGACUGGAGUCAAAUCGAGUAAAAUUGUUCGAGUUAAAUUAAAAUCUUGUUACAGUAUAAUUAAUUUCAUGUUAGAGUACUUAAAUUUGAAACUAUAUAUAUUUGAAAACUUUUUCAAACCAAAAUGAUAAUAAAAAAAUAAUUUAAUAUGAUAAACUUGAAUUAUUAAUUGACUUAAUUAGGUCCCAAAGUUAUUAUUUUAGAAAAAAAAUAAUUU
This 237-nucleotide long non-coding RNA is filed under the name Gossypium barbadense (sea-island cotton). RNAcentral describes it as "long non-coding RNA (GBAR_LNC014260)". The record is from RNAcentral. Lineage: Eukaryota; Viridiplantae; Streptophyta; Magnoliopsida; Malvales; Malvaceae.